Molecule: non-coding RNA, 64 nt
Organism: Pelobates cultripes (western spadefoot toad)
Lineage: Eukaryota; Metazoa; Chordata; Amphibia; Anura; Pelobatidae
Source: the annotation of a GenBank genome assembly
CCUGGAAAUCACACACACAAUCUGAUAUAUAUUGUAUAUCAGAUUGUGUGUGUGAUUUCCAGGA